RNAcentral lists this ribosomal RNA (239 nucleotides) under uncultured bacterium. RNAcentral's name for it is "partial 16S ribosomal RNA". It matches the Rfam family "Bacterial small subunit ribosomal RNA", at positions 95 to 334 of the family's 1533-position model. The record is from RNAcentral.
CCGGCGCACGGGUGAGUAACGCGUAUGCAACUUACCUAUCAGGAGGGGAUAACCGGCGAAAGUCGGACUAAUACCGCAUGAAGCAGGGGCCCCGCAUGGGGAUAUUUGCUAAAGAUUCAUCGCUGAUAGAUAGGCAUGCGUUCCAUUAGGCAGUUGGCGGGGUAACGGCCCACCAAACCGACGAUGGAUAGGGGUUCUGAGAGGAAGGUCCCCCACAUUGGUACUGAGACACGGACCAA